CAGUCGCCGCGGGAAUACGAAGGGUGCAAGCGUUACUCGGAAUUACUGGGCGUAAAGCGUGCGUAGGCGGCUUUUUAAGUCGGAUGUGAAAUCCCUGAGCUUAACUUAGGAAUUGCAUUCGAUACUGGGAAGCUAGAGUAUGGGAGAGGAUGGUAGAAUUCCAGGUGUAGCGGUGAAAUGCGUAGAGAUCUGGAGGAAUACCGAUGGCGAAGGCAGCCAUCUGGCCUAAUACUGACGCUGAGGUACGAAAGCAUGGGGAGCAAACAGGAUUAGAUACCCGAGUAGUCCCUGUCUCUUAUAC
RNAcentral lists this ribosomal RNA (301 nucleotides) under uncultured bacterium. Its description in RNAcentral is "partial 16S ribosomal RNA". It matches the Rfam family "Bacterial small subunit ribosomal RNA", at positions 509 to 807 of the family's 1533-position model. The record is from RNAcentral.